Non-coding RNA from Rattus norvegicus (Norway rat), 517 nucleotides. NCBI's taxonomy places the organism in Eukaryota, Metazoa, Chordata, Mammalia, Rodentia, Muridae. The record is from RefSeq and is a predicted model, not a curated record.
CAGGGAGGGCCUAAUGAUGAUAUCACUGAGAACUGCCAUGGCCUACCUGCUGAACAGCUUUCCUUACAUUGACCAUAUUUGAGGGUGUCCUUUCCUGGAACCACUUGAAGCAGGGAAGUCCAGAUGCUUCUGACACGCUCCGAGCUCCGAGCUCCUGAUCCCAUGUGUGGAAGGCUCAGAUCAAUUCUAUCUCUUCAAGACAGGAGGGUAGCAUUAUUGUCCUCUGCAAGACUCAACGGAGCAGCCGACUGACACAGGUGCACAGACAUACGGCCAAAUAUCGAAUGGAGCUCAGUGAGUCUCACUGAAGGGCUGAGGGAAGGGCAGACAGAGACAGAGGAGCACAAUGAUCUUCAGGUGGGGUCACUAAACCAGUCGCUUGUCUGUGGAUCCUGUUCUCCUACCCGGGCUGCGUUUUCAGGACCUGGUGGGAGACGAUGAAUCUAGUUGAGUAGAGACUUGAUGUGCCAGGGGAGAGGGUGAACCCAGAGGGGUCCUCCACUCUCUCAGAUAAGAA